Molecule: signal recognition particle RNA, 98 nt
Filed under: Sneathiellales bacterium
Lineage: Bacteria; Pseudomonadati; Pseudomonadota; Alphaproteobacteria; Sneathiellales
Description: signal recognition particle sRNA small type
Rfam family: Bacterial small signal recognition particle RNA
About the family: The signal recognition particle (SRP) is a universally conserved ribonucleoprotein involved in the co-translational targeting of proteins to membranes. Archaeal SRP consists of a 7S RNA and homologues of the eukaryotic SRP19 and SRP54 proteins.
Source: RNAcentral
GGGAGGUUGCCGGCGGACGCACCGCUCGCCAACCCGGUCAGGUCCGGAAGGAAGCAGCCGUAACGAAUCCGGUUCGGGUCGCCUGGCAACCUCCUGCU